RNAcentral lists this ribosomal RNA (2891 nucleotides) under Pseudomonas sp. FP1911. RNAcentral describes it as "23S ribosomal RNA". It matches the Rfam family "Bacterial large subunit ribosomal RNA". The record is from RNAcentral. Lineage: Bacteria; Pseudomonadati; Pseudomonadota; Gammaproteobacteria; Pseudomonadales; Pseudomonadaceae.
GGUCAAGUGAAGAAGCGCAUACGGUGGAUGCCUUGGCAGUCAGAGGCGAUGAAAGACGUGGUAGCCUGCGAAAAGCUUCGGGGAGUCGGCAAACAGACUUUGAUCCGGAGAUGUCUGAAUGGGGGAACCCAGCCAUCAUAAGAUGGUUAUCUUGUACUGAAUACAUAGGUGCAAGAGGCGAACCAGGGGAACUGAAACAUCUAAGUACCCUGAGGAAAAGAAAUCAACCGAGAUUCCCUUAGUAGUGGCGAGCGAACGGGGACUAGCCCUUAAGUGGCUUUGAGAUUAGCGGAACGCUCUGGAAAGUGCGGCCAUAGUGGGUGAUAGCCCUGUACGCGAAAAUCUCUUAGUCAUGAAAUCGAGUAGGACGGAGCACGAGAAACUUUGUCUGAAUAUGGGGGGACCAUCCUCCAAGGCUAAAUACUACUGACUGACCGAUAGUGAACUAGUACCGUGAGGGAAAGGCGAAAAGAACCCCGGAGAGGGGAGUGAAAUAGAUCCUGAAACCGUAUGCGUACAAGCAGUGGGAGCCCACUUUGUUGGGUGACUGCGUACCUUUUGUAUAAUGGGUCAGCGACUUAUUUUCAGUGGCGAGCUUAACCGAAUAGGGGAGGCGUAGCGAAAGCGAGUCUUAAUAGGGCGUCUAGUCGCUGGGAAUAGACCCGAAACCGGGCGAUCUAUCCAUGGGCAGGUUGAAGGUUGGGUAACACUAACUGGAGGACCGAACCGACUACCGUUGAAAAGUUAGCGGAUGACCUGUGGAUCGGAGUGAAAGGCUAAUCAAGCUCGGAGAUAGCUGGUUCUCCUCGAAAGCUAUUUAGGUAGCGCCUCAUGUAUCACUGUAGGGGGUAGAGCACUGUUUCGGCUAGGGGGUCAUCCCGACUUACCAAACCGAUGCAAACUCCGAAUACCUACAAGUGCCGAGCAUGGGAGACACACGGCGGGUGCUAACGUCCGUCGUGAAAAGGGAAACAACCCAGACCGUCAGCUAAGGUCCCAAAGUUAUGGUUAAGUGGGAAACGAUGUGGGAAGGCUUAGACAGCUAGGAGGUUGGCUUAGAAGCAGCCACCCUUUAAAGAAAGCGUAAUAGCUCACUAGUCGAGUCGGCCUGCGCGGAAGAUGUAACGGGGCUCAAACCAUACACCGAAGCUCGGGUAUCACGUAAGUGAUGCGGUAGAGGAGCGUUCUGUAAGCCUGUGAAGGUGAGUUGAGAAGCUUGCUGGAGGUAUCAGAAGUGCGAAUGCUGACAUGAGUAACGAUAAUGGGUGUGAAAAACACCCACGCCGAAAGACCAAGGUUUCCUGCGCAACGUUAAUCGACGCAGGGUUAGUCGGUCCCUAAGGCGAGGCUGAAAAGCGUAGUCGAUGGAAAACAGGUUAAUAUUCCUGUACUUCUGGUUAUUGCGAUGGAGGGACGGAGAAGGCUAGGCCAGCUUGGCGUUGGUUGUCCAAGUUUAAGGUGGUAGGCUGGAAUCUUAGGUAAAUCCGGGAUUCUAAGGCCGAGAGCUGAUGACGAGUUACCUUUCAGGUAACGAAGUGGUUGAUGCCAUGCUUCCAAGAAAAGCUUCUAAGCUUCAGGUAACCAGGAACCGUACCCCAAACCGACACAGGUGGUUGGGUAGAGAAUACCAAGGCGCUUGAGAGAACUCGGGUGAAGGAACUAGGCAAAAUGGCACCGUAACUUCGGGAGAAGGUGCGCCGGUGAGGGUGAAGGACUUGCUCCGUAAGCUCAUGCCGGUCGAAGAUACCAGGCCGCUGCGACUGUUUAUUAAAAACACAGCACUCUGCAAACACGAAAGUGGACGUAUAGGGUGUGACGCCUGCCCGGUGCCGGAAGGUUAAUUGAUGGGGUUAGCUAACGCGAAGCUCUUGAUCGAAGCCCCGGUAAACGGCGGCCGUAACUAUAACGGUCCUAAGGUAGCGAAAUUCCUUGUCGGGUAAGUUCCGACCUGCACGAAUGGCGUAACGAUGGCGGCGCUGUCUCCACCCGAGACUCAGUGAAAUUGAAAUCGCUGUGAAGAUGCAGUGUAUCCGCGGCUAGACGGAAAGACCCCGUGAACCUUUACUAUAGCUUUGCACUGGACUUUGAAUUUGCUUGUGUAGGAUAGGUGGGAGGCUUUGAAGCGUGGACGCCAGUCUGCGUGGAGCCAUCCUUGAAAUACCACCCUGGCAACUUUGAGGUUCUAACUCAGGUCCGUUAUCCGGAUCGAGGACAGUGUAUGGUGGGUAGUUUGACUGGGGCGGUCUCCUCCUAAAGAGUAACGGAGGAGUACGAAGGUGCGCUCAGACCGGUCGGAAAUCGGUCGUAGAGUAUAAAGGCAAAAGCGCGCUUGACUGCGAGACAGACACGUCGAGCAGGUACGAAAGUAGGUCUUAGUGAUCCGGUGGUUCUGUAUGGAAGGGCCAUCGCUCAACGGAUAAAAGGUACUCCGGGGAUAACAGGCUGAUACCGCCCAAGAGUUCAUAUCGACGGCGGUGUUUGGCACCUCGAUGUCGGCUCAUCACAUCCUGGGGCUGAAGCCGGUCCCAAGGGUAUGGCUGUUCGCCAUUUAAAGUGGUACGCGAGCUGGGUUUAGAACGUCGUGAGACAGUUCGGUCCCUAUCUGCCGUGGACGUUUGAGAUUUGAGAGGGGCUGCUCCUAGUACGAGAGGACCGGAGUGGACGAACCUCUGGUGUUCCGGUUGUCACGCCAGUGGCAUUGCCGGGUAGCUAUGUUCGGAAUAGAUAACCGCUGAAAGCAUCUAAGCGGGAAACUAGCCUCAAGAUGAGAUCUCACUGGAACCUUGAGUUCCCUGAAGGGCCGUCGAAGACUACGACGUUGAUAGGUUGGGUGUGUAAGCGCUGUGAGGCGUUGAGCUAACCAAUACUAAUUGCCCGUGAGGCUUGACCAU